UUUAAUGGGUGUGGAUAGGUAUUUAAUGGCUAUAGUAUAGGGUAGAUGGUUAUGUAGUGGGAGCGGAUAGGUAUUUCAUGGCUGUAGUAUAGGGUAGAUGGUUACGUAGUGGGAGUGGAUAGGUAUUUAAUGGCUAUAGUAUAGGGUAGAUGGUUAUGUAAUGGGAGUGGAUAGAUAUUUAAUGGUUAUAGUAUAGGGUAGAUAGUUAUUUAGUGGGGGUGGAUAGGUAUUUAAUGGCUAUAGUAUAGGGUAGAUGGUUAUGUAGUGGGAGUGGAUAGGUAUUUCAUGGCUGUAGUAUAGGGUAGAUGGUUACGUAGAGGGAGUGGAUAGGUAUUUAAUGGCUAUA
This is a long non-coding RNA of Mizuhopecten yessoensis (Yesso scallop), 346 nucleotides long. RefSeq lists it as uncharacterized. NCBI's taxonomy places the organism in Eukaryota, Metazoa, Mollusca, Bivalvia, Pectinida, Pectinidae. The record is from RefSeq and is a predicted model, not a curated record. The transcript has 3 exons.